AUACGGAGGAUCCGAGCGUUAUCCGGAUUUAUUGGGUUUAAAGGGUGCGCAGGCGGCCAUUUAAGUCAGCGGUUAAAUCGUGGGGCUCAACCCCAUUCUGCCGUUGAUACUGGGUGGCUUGAUUGCGGUCGAGGUUGGCGGAAUUCGUUGUGUAGCGGUGAAAUGCAUAGAUAUGACGAAGAACGCCGAUUGCGUAGGCAGCUGACCAGAUCGCAAAUGACGCUCAUGCACGAAAGUGCGGGGAUCGAACAGGAUUAGAUACCCUGGUAGUCCGCACAGUAAACGAUGAAUACUUGUUUUCGGCGAUAUAAUGUCGGAGGCAAAGCGAAAGCGAUAAGUAUUCCACCUGGGGAGUACGCCGGCAACGGUGAAACUCAAAUGAAUUGACGGGG
This 392-nucleotide ribosomal RNA is filed under the name uncultured bacterium. RNAcentral's name for it is "partial 16S ribosomal RNA". It matches the Rfam family "Bacterial small subunit ribosomal RNA", at positions 523 to 918 of the family's 1533-position model. The record is from RNAcentral.